UCCUUCAGUGUUGAAACAAUCUCUACUGAACCAGGCUCCAAACCAAGUUCACUGGAGUUUGUUUCAAUAUUGCAAGAA
Ictidomys tridecemlineatus (thirteen-lined ground squirrel) is the source of this 78-nucleotide non-coding RNA. The record is from Rfam. NCBI's taxonomy places the organism in Eukaryota, Metazoa, Chordata, Mammalia, Rodentia, Sciuridae.